This 459-nucleotide ribosomal RNA is filed under the name uncultured bacterium. Its description in RNAcentral is "partial 16S ribosomal RNA". It matches the Rfam family "Bacterial small subunit ribosomal RNA", at positions 338 to 795 of the family's 1533-position model. The record is from RNAcentral.
CCUACGGGUGACAGCAGUGAGGAAUAUUGGUCAAUGGUCGGGAGACUGAACCAGCCAAGCCGCGUGAGGGAUGAAGGUCCAAAGUAUUGUAAACCUCUUUUGUCAGGGAACAAAAGCGGGCACGUGUGCCCGGAUGAGUGUACCUGAAGAAAAAGCAUCGGCUAACUCCGUGCCAGCAGCCGCGGUAAUACGGAGGAUGCGAGCGUUUUCCGGAUUUAUUGGGUUUAAAGGGUGCGGGGGGGGUCUGUUAAGUCCGCGGUAAAAGCCCGGGGCUCAACCCCGGCCCGCCGUUGAAACUGGCAGUCUCGAGAGGGAGAGAAGUAUGCGGAAUGCGCGGUGUAGCGGUGAAAUGCAUAGAUAUCGCGCAGAACUCCGAUUGCGAAGGCAGCAUGCCGGCGCCACACUGACGCUGAGGCACGAAAGCGUGGGUAUCGAACAGGAUUAGAUACCCGUGUAGUC